CUCACAGAGAUCCGCCUGCCUCUGCCUCCCGAGUGCUGGGAUUAAAGGUGUGCGCUACCACCGCCCGGCCCAGAAACUUGUAUUCUUAAACUCUGCUUCCCAAAGGCUUUACAUAUCUAACAAAGAAUUAAGUGAACCUAAACAUGUCCCACAACUUUUAGAAAUGUAUAAAACCAAAAGCCUAACAAUAUAAUAGUUAAGCAUACCAGUAAUUAAAACACCAAACACAUAUUUCAGCAAGCUAUAGUGGCUGUUAGAAGUUCUGAAUUUUAUCUUACUGUAUGUUAAUAAACAAUUUCCAGUUACCUCUCUAUAAAUCUGUAAAUGCAUCAAAGUCCCCACAGGACAGACAACUGACUUCUGUUAUUCUGUUUGCUCUGUUAUCAGCCUCAGCAUGUAAAACAUAGUUUUGAAUAUGAUAUCACCGAUAUAACUGUUCAGUGAACAUUUCUGAGACAAAUCACACUGCUAAUGGUGUCAGAAAGGAGGAUGCUCCUCUGGACAAACAGCAGAAUGACUAAACUAUGUACACCAAAUGUCUCCUCUACAGAAUACUCAGCAAGAAUGUCCUAUAGGGAAACGAGAAGCCGACAAGCCUCAGCUAUGAGCACAUACUUCCUGCUUAUGCCUGUUUGCCCUUUUCUUAAAUAUAAGAGCAGCACUGGGCAUCUUUGUAAAUGUCUUACAGGGGAGGCUAUAAAAGAAACAACCAUUAGUAAAUACAUUUGAAGGCUAAAUUAUGUUCCUAGAACUGAAACAUAAUUUAUUUUUAAAAGCUCAGGAUAAGGAGGUUUUGGAAAUUUAAAAAAAGUGACAGUAGAAAUCAAAAGUGAACGGAUGGAAUUAAGGGCUUCUCUAAAAGAAUUAAAGCAAAGAAACAAAGAAUAGGAAAGGAAAGUUUGAAAGUUGAAGAGUUGCCCAGCAGUUCAAACCCCAUAUAGUUAUAAGCUAAUGAGUUAGUUUCAGAAUAAGAGUCUGUAUUUUUAUAUUGAAAGUAUCUAGCACUGAUUAAAAUCCAUACCAGACAUAAAUCCCAUCACACCAGAAACCAAAAAGCUUCCAGAGGAAAACAGGGCAAGAGCAACAUUGGGCUAGACAAGAACAACGCAACAGCCUUCAGAACCCCUCAUGUCCAAGUGCCAAAGGGUGCACUUGCCAUCCCAGCACUUGGAAGGACUUCGAGUACGAGGCCAUCCCCAGAGACGUAGUGAGACCCUGUCUCAACAACAAUAAAACCGGUAACCAUCUACACCAUCAGUUAAAUAGGUUGAUUAAAGACCUUUCUAGACAUUCCAGAAAAUCAUUUUAGGGAUAUGAUUGAAGGAUGUGUUUGGCAGAAAUGGAAGGAUGAAGGUUGAGAGAUGACAGGAGAUUGAGGAUAGAGGAGCACCAACCCAACAGCCAUUGGAAGAAAUCCCCAAGGUACAGUGUCCUGGGAUGUUAGCACAAAAUGCUCUCAUGUAUUUGGGGGUGAGACGGUAAGGUGGAGUGGCAGCACUGGGGAAGCUCCAGCUGUACAUCCCAUAAUAGGAUUCUUUUUAUGCUGAGCACAGAGAGCACAUAGCUACUCAAGUCAUCAUUCCUUCAGUACAUAUUUACAGAAUACUUGCUGUAUGUUCAUUUGGGUCAGGUGUGUUUAUCUGGGCAACAUAGUAAGAUGACCUGACCACCCCCCCAACCCCCUGCAUCUCAUAAAAAAAGUUUUAUAGAAUUUAAACUUUUAUGGAGGAGCCAAGAUGAUAGAGAAGUAGGCAGACACCUGAUGUCAGUGUGGCAGGUCCCAUUUAAAAAUUAAGGCAGGUUAGUGAGGAUGGAGAUGGAACAGUGUGGGGGGUAUCAAUUCAGUGUUCCGAAAUUUUGAACAGUCCAUUAAUGUGGCAUGUAGAUUUGGAAGGAAGGAGUCAUGUGGAUACUGAGGGAAGAGGAUUCCAGGCAGAGGGAAGAGCAAGUACCUAAGUGAGAAGCAUUGGUACCACGUGAUGCUGAUAACCAAGGGGCUAGUUAUGAGCCUCCAGCAAGCUCCUGCUACUCACUGGGAAGCAGCUGCCCUGUGAUGGGGACCAUCAUGGGGAUACAGUGAUGACACAUGUACUACCUGUGUGGUAGGCUUUCUAGGCUGCAUAGUUAUUAUUGCUUUGGAUCUGCCCCCAAGUAGUUGAAAAUCUAAGGGCAAAAUUUCUGGAGAUAAUUAGGUUUAGACUAGUGGUCUUCAACCCUUGCAGAGUAUCUAAAUCAUCAUAUAAGCAUGUAAUGAUAGAUUCCCUCCCAUAUCUUAGCCUCUGAAUUUGGUCCAAGUCAAAAUAGGAUAUAGACUCUUAGGAAGGUUGCUGCUCUAAGGACAGAGGGAGAGAGUACUGGGAGGGAGAUCUGGAAUUGUGGUGUGUGUGUAGGGAGGCCAGAGAUGAAGAAAACUAGUGCAGUGGAAACUCCAUGGAGUCUAUGAGAGUGACCCUAGCGAAGUCUCCUAGUUAUGGCUAUCUUCUAUAAUCAGGCAAGACUUCUAGCAGUGGGGCUGGAAUUUCAAUCCACCUACAAAACCUUCUACCUACAAUCUGCCCUGCCUGCAAGAUGUCCUGGGGUAAUGGUGGUGUAAAACUUGUGGGAGGGGCCAACCAAGGACUGGUCCAACUUGAGGCCCACACCACAAGAGAACCCACGCCCAACACUGCCUGGAUGGCCAGGAACCAGAGGCAGGACAUCCCGGAGACCCAGGGUAGAACCAACAUGAAUGGCAAAAAAAAAAAAAAAAAAAGUCAAUGAAAUGAUUCUUAAUGAUAUUCUUCUAUA
Molecule: long non-coding RNA, 2787 nt
Organism: Peromyscus leucopus (white-footed mouse)
Lineage: Eukaryota; Metazoa; Chordata; Mammalia; Rodentia; Cricetidae
Exons: 2
Source: RefSeq, a predicted model, not a curated record